Molecule: unclassified non-coding RNA, 206 nt
Filed under: uncultured Russulaceae
Lineage: Eukaryota; Fungi; Basidiomycota; Agaricomycetes; Russulales; Russulaceae
Description: sequence contains ITS1
Source: RNAcentral
UCGUACUACAGAGGUGCUCAGGUUGUCGCUGACCUUUUUGGUCGUGCACGCCCGAGUGCUCUCAAUCCAUUUCACCCUUUGUGCAUCACCGCGCGGGGUCUCUUCCUCUUGGCUUGCUUCAAGAGGGGGUGCUCACGUUUUUAACAUUAAACACCCCAUUCGAACGUAUCGUAGAAUGUUCUUUGCGCGAUCAUGCGCGAUCAAUA